GCGGGAGUGGCGGAACCGGUAGACGCACUGGACUUAGGAUCCAGUGGGCGUAAGCCCGUGGAGGUUCGAGUCCUCUCUCCCGCACCA
This 87-nucleotide transfer RNA is filed under the name Campylobacterota bacterium. Its description in RNAcentral is "Epsilonproteobacteria bacterium (hydrothermal vent metagenome) tRNA-Leu". It matches the Rfam family "tRNA". From Rfam's summary of the family: Transfer RNA (tRNA) molecules are approximately 80 nucleotides in length. Their secondary structure includes four short double-helical elements and three loops (D, anti-codon, and T loops). The record is from RNAcentral. Lineage: Bacteria; Pseudomonadati; Campylobacterota.